This 204-nucleotide ribosomal RNA is filed under the name uncultured prokaryote. Its description in RNAcentral is "partial 16S ribosomal RNA". It matches the Rfam family "Bacterial small subunit ribosomal RNA", at positions 524 to 727 of the family's 1533-position model. The record is from RNAcentral.
UACGUAGGCAGCAAGCGUUGUUCGGAAUUACUGGGCGUAAAGAGUGUGUAGGCGGUUUUCUAAGUUUGGUGUGAAAUCUCCCGGCUUAACUGGGAGGGUGCGCCGAAAACUGGAAGGUUUGAGUGCCGGAGAGGAUAGCGGAAUUCCUGGUGUAGCGGUGAAAUGCGCAGAUAUCGGGAGGAACACCGGUGGCGAAGGCGGUUC